This is a non-coding RNA of Paramuricea clavata, 323 nucleotides long. The record is from the annotation of a GenBank genome assembly. NCBI's taxonomy places the organism in Eukaryota, Metazoa, Cnidaria, Anthozoa, Malacalcyonacea, Plexauridae.
GAUAAUUGGAUGGCCGAAGACACUCGUUUACAAUUGGACUACUACAUUAAUGUUUGCAGCGGUUAUUAUCCGGGCAAUGUAAAAUAUCAGUGCGCAGAUUCUGCUCGCAUUGGUGGAUGUCAAGUGGACAGCCUAAAUAACAAAGCUCACAAUAUGGGAUACCUUAUGAGCGGUCCUGUUGUUUCCUCUGCGGGUCAUCUCACGUUACGUUAUGUCGGAGGAGAGAAAUGUCACCACAGAUAUGAUCGUAGCACGAGGAUUAACUUUUUCUGCUCACACGUUCAUGUAAGUAUUAUGUAUUGAAUGAGACGGUUGUCAGGGAG